GACGAACGCUGGCGGCGUGCUUAACACAUGCAAGUCGAACGGAAAGGCCCUGCUUUUGUGGGGUGCUCGAGUGGCGAACGGGUGAGUAACACGUGAGUAACCUGCCCUUGACUUUGGGAUAACUUCAGGAAACUGGGGCUAAUACCGGAUAGGAGCUCCUGCUGCAUGGUGGGGGUUGGAAAGUUUCGGCGGUUGGGGAUGGACUCGCGGCUUAUCAGCUUGUUGGUGGGGUAGUGGCUUACCAAGGCUUUGACGGGUAGCCGGCCUGAGAGGGUGACCGGCCACAUUGGGACUGAGAUACGGCCCAGACUCCUACGGGAGGCAGCAGUGGGGAAUAUUGCACAAUGGGCGGAAGCCUGAUGCAGCAACGCCGCGUGCGGGAUGACGGCCUCGGUGUAACGACUUCGUCCUCGUGUACGAAGACGUGAGUGACGGUAAGUAGGGU
Molecule: ribosomal RNA, 445 nt
Filed under: uncultured bacterium
Lineage: Bacteria
Description: bacterial SSU rRNA
Rfam family: Bacterial small subunit ribosomal RNA
Source: RNAcentral